AUUGAACGCUGGCGGCAGGCCUAACACAUGCAAGUCGAGCGGAAGAAGGGAGCUUGCUCCUGGAUUCAGCGGCGGACGGGUGAGUAAUGCCUAGGAAUCUGCCUGGUAGUGGGGGAUAACGUCCGGAAACGGGCGCUAAUACCGCAUACGUCCUGAGGGAGAAAGUGGGGGAUCUUCGGACCUCACGCUAUCAGAUGAGCCUAGGUCGGAUUAGCUAGUUGGUGGGGUAAAGGCCUACCAAGGCGACGAUCCGUAACUGGUCUGAGAGGAUGAUCAGUCACACUGGAACUGAGACACGGUCCAGACUCCUACGGGAGGCAGCAGUGGGGAAUAUUGGACAAUGGGCGAAAGCCUGAUCCAGCCAGGCCGCGUGUGUGAAGAAGGUCUUCGGAUUGUAAAGCACUUUAAGUUGGGAGGAAGGGCAGUAAGUUAAUACCUUGCUGUUUUGACGUUACCAACAGAAUAAGCACCGGCUAACUUCGUG
RNAcentral lists this ribosomal RNA (484 nucleotides) under uncultured bacterium. RNAcentral's name for it is "partial 16S ribosomal RNA". It matches the Rfam family "Bacterial small subunit ribosomal RNA", at positions 30 to 507 of the family's 1533-position model. The record is from RNAcentral.